CCCGCCCCUCCUUUCCCCGCCGGGGUGAGGGAGGAGUGGGGCCGCAUCCCGGGAUGAGCCUGGCCCUGCCCUGGGGAAGGUUUCCUCGAGUCUGUCGCGCUCCACUGUCACCCCCCCACUCAACCCUGCUUCUGCUGACUUCAAGCCAUGACAGAAGAUGAUGUAUCGUACGUGUGUCGCAGUCAGCCCCGGCAACGCCACUAGUCCCAGAACGUCACAGGCCCAGGGAGAAGGACCGCGGGGGCUGUCUCGGUCUGGGCGACGUGGGUCCCGGAGGUCUCGGCCAGCCGCUGGCCAUGACGUUCUAGAUCCGGGGACGGAGUCGACAGUGCCCUGCAGCUCAGCUUGCACCAGCGCCCAGCCCCGCACCCCGGUCCUGCCCGGAGGCCACCACAGGGGCACAGCCCCGUCCUCCCAUCCGCCUGCAUUCUUCUUCCUCCCCUUGGCGCUUGGGCCAAGAGAGCUGCUUUCUCACUCUCCCUUGCUUUCUCUCCCUCUGGUGAGCACACGUGUCCU
Molecule: long non-coding RNA, 516 nt
Organism: Tupaia belangeri chinensis (Chinese tree shrew)
Lineage: Eukaryota; Metazoa; Chordata; Mammalia; Scandentia; Tupaiidae
Exons: 3
Source: RefSeq, a predicted model, not a curated record